Molecule: long non-coding RNA, 1420 nt
Organism: Cottoperca gobio
Lineage: Eukaryota; Metazoa; Chordata; Actinopteri; Perciformes; Bovichtidae
Exons: 3
Source: RefSeq, a predicted model, not a curated record
CUUGCUAUUAUCGCCCUGCUACGGUUGUUAUUUACUUUGUGGGAUUUAAAAGUGCACAACCCAGCCGGAUAAUCAUUUUACAGCAGCGGAUGAAGAGGGGAGCACAGAGGCAGGGAUGUGAGCCGCAAGACAUCCAGACGGACUUGCUUUUAUGCUUCCAGACUAGAUCCAUUGAAAUUGUAUUUUCUUUAAAAACCAGGGUGCUUCUUUGUCGUCAGGAGGGCUGCAGCGCAAAGCCACUGGCGCUUCACAGACAGCCAGGCGUCGACGGCUCUCCAACUCUGCCGCGUCAAGGGCCGGAAGUGGCGAGGGGAAGCGCAGAUGCAUACUCCACACAGCUGUACGCCUCCAUCCCCUCUUGGCAGCUCCAUCUCCUUCCCCCCUGUCUCUCCUCCCUCUCCCUGGUUGGUUUCCACAGCUGUGGUGAGUGAGGGGCAGAUGACCGGAGAAUUGGCCCCUGGGAGAGUGCUGAGCCAUCCUGGUGCUAUUAGGCUCGUGGCUAAUAAUAGGUGUUUCAGACCAGGGGAAGAUCAAUCAGGGGGAAUCAUGGGGAAUGUUCGGAGCAUCGCUUUUUACACAUCGGCCCAGAUGGAUGAAAUUACACAUGUCAGUUUUUAGUUGCAUUACUCCCAAAUUGGUUGUCUACUCUUUUUUUUACUCUCUCUCCCUCCCUCCCUCGCUCUCUCUCCUUUCUCCUUUCUCUCUCUUUGCCUUCAUUCAUGUGUCAGUGGCCUGCUAAAGGGAUUCAACGGUGAAAUCCCUGUCAUUUUUGUAUUUUCCCUGUUUAGCCCUCAGCCAGAAACUCUGUUGCCUGCAUAUGCACUCAGAAGAAAUUCGUUUUAGACCUAGUCUUAUGGCUCGGGCAAUUUUCAUGUUAAAGGCAAGUGUGGAACUGACAUUGUGUAUGUGCUCUGCAUGUAUUAUAAAACAAUUUGAUGGACUCUCGCAAACACCCAGAGUACAGUCAAAGCGACAAACAGAAAAUGUAUUGUAUGUAAUGUAACUAUUUUGAUUAUUUUGAUUAAUUAUUUCACAGAUUUUUUAAUGCAAAAUGACAGCUGUUCCAAGGUGAGCAUUUGCAGCUUUUGUCUGUUUCAUAUCACAGUAAGCCGAAUAUCUUUCGGGGUAUUUAGACCGUGAACUAGACGUUUUAAGAUAUAACCUUGCAUUCUAGGGAACAUUUCAUAGAAUAGUCCUCGUGUGAAAUACAGCCUUAGAAUUGUAACAUAUUUCUAAUGUUAAGUUGAUUUACACAAAUUUGUUUUAAAAGCAAUUUCAUAAAUGUGUUAAGUACAAUAAUUGUAUUGUCAUUUCAGAAAAAAUCGUGUAUAAUUGUAAUGUAAUUAAAUCUGUCAGGUGCAAAUGAAACCUUUGGUCUGUAUCUCACCGUUUGAAACUGAAUAAAAUUCCCCACACAAUA